Long non-coding RNA from Sinocyclocheilus anshuiensis, 517 nucleotides. RefSeq lists it as uncharacterized. NCBI's taxonomy places the organism in Eukaryota, Metazoa, Chordata, Actinopteri, Cypriniformes, Cyprinidae. The transcript is spliced from 4 exons. The record is from RefSeq and is a predicted model, not a curated record.
CGCUGCUUCUGCGUAGUUUGAUGCGACUGUUGUUAAAUCUCUACUAUUCGGAAAAUGUUCGUUGCUGUUGUUGCUCACGUAGUGCGAUAUCUUUCUGCAGUUCCUGAUACAAGUUUAUUAAAAUGAUUAAUCCCUAAUGCAGCGCAAACACAACAUGUUUGCAGGCUCUUUUCCAGGGUAUACGUACAAUUAACUAUGUCAUGACGCAAAGGCAUCUGUUCCAGGACUACAAGGUGCACUGGAGAACCCUGGCUGCCGGACAUUGCUUUAUAGCCAGCCAAUCAGAAUGGGAUGGCCAAUUUUUGGAGGCUGAGACUACAACAUACUAAAGAGCUAAAAGAGAACCCACUGCACUCUACCCAUCACAGAAACUGAAGAGGACCGGAAUCAGUGUCUCUGGAGUGUUUUGACAGCAACUCUGACCGAAAACGCUCUGAUCGCACAUGACAAAGGUCAAUGUUCUCUAGAUUUCUACAAGCAGGAGAGCACCGAGGCCAAGUGUGUUUUUGUAUUGUUG